Molecule: ribosomal RNA, 467 nt
Filed under: uncultured bacterium
Lineage: Bacteria
Description: bacterial SSU rRNA
Rfam family: Bacterial small subunit ribosomal RNA
Source: RNAcentral
CAAGGAAUUUUCGUCAAUGGGCGCAAGCCUGAACGAGCAACGCCGCGUGCAGGAUGACGGCCUUCGGGUUGUAAACUGCUUUUUCGGGGGAUGAUUGUGACAGUACCCCGGGAAUAAGGCUCGGCUAACUCUGUGCCAGCAGCCGCGGUAAGACAGAGGAGCCAAGCGUUGUCCGGAUUGACUGGGCGUAAAGCGCACGCAGGCGGUCUGGCGCGUGGGGUGUGAAAUCUGGCCGCUUAACGGCCAGGCGCCAUCCCAUACGGCCGGACUGGAGCCGUGCAGAGGGCGGUGGAAUUGCCGGUGUAGUGGUGAAAUGCGUAGAGAUCGGCAGGAACACCCAGGGGGAAACCAGCCGCCUGGGCACGCGCUGACGCUGAGGUGCGAGAGCGUGGGGAGGCGAACCGGAUUAGAGUACCCGGGUAGUCCACGCCGUAAACGAUGGCCACUCGGCCUUUGGAGGCGGAACC